GGUGUGGGGAAUGUCGCCUUGGCUCGAGAGAGAUAUAUGCAUGAUGUGUCCAUGCAUUCACCAAUGAAUCAAAUGAUAUUAUAUCAGUUUGAAUUGUGAAUGUUUUCUCGGACCAGGCUUCAUUCCCCUCACU
This is a non-coding RNA of Glycine soja, 133 nucleotides long. The record is from Rfam. NCBI's taxonomy places the organism in Eukaryota, Viridiplantae, Streptophyta, Magnoliopsida, Fabales, Fabaceae.